Molecule: ribosomal RNA, 497 nt
Filed under: uncultured bacterium
Lineage: Bacteria
Description: partial 16S ribosomal RNA
Rfam family: Bacterial small subunit ribosomal RNA
Source: RNAcentral
GAUGAACGCUGGCGGCGUGCCUAAUACAUGCCAGUCGAGCGAACGGACGAGAAGCUUGCUUCUCUGAUGUUAGCGGCGGACGGGUGAGUAACACGUGGAUAACCUACCUAUAAGACUGGGAUAACUUCGGGAAACCGUAGCUAAUACCGGAUAAUAUUUUGAACCGCAUGGUUCAAAAGUGAAAGACGGUCUUGCUGUCACUUAUAGAUGGAUCCGCGCUGCAUUAGCUAGUUGGUAAGGUAACGGCUUACCAAGGCAACGAUGCAUAGCCGACCUGAGAGGGUGAUCGGCCACACUGGAACUGAGACACGGUCCAGACUCCUACGGGAGGCAGCAGUAGGGAAUCUUCCGCAAUGGGCGAAAGCCUGACGGAGCAACGCCGCGUGAGUGAUGAAGGUCUUCGGAUCGUAAAACUCUGUUAUUAGGGAAGAACAUAUGUGUAGGUAACUGUGCACAUCUUGACGGUACCUAAUCAGAAAGCCACGGCUAACUACGUG